This 1068-nucleotide long non-coding RNA is filed under the name Gallus gallus (chicken). Its description in RNAcentral is "lncRNA (ENSGALG00010026038.1)". The record is from RNAcentral. Lineage: Eukaryota; Metazoa; Chordata; Aves; Galliformes; Phasianidae.
UGUUGUUAACACUUUACUUUGAAAGUCUGAGCUGGGAUCGAUUGGUUCCAAGAAAAAGGAAGAUUAACUGUACCCUGGAAGGUUCUUCUAUUCCUCCAGAAAGGGCGACAGCAGCAGGUACAGCUUAAGAGUAACACAGGAUUACUCUUGGCCAAAGCUCCCAAACGGGUUAAGACCCAGCAUGGAGAAAGGACUGUUCAGCCAACUUCUGUGCCCACCUGCCUGGCAGCAAACCUGCACUCCGCGUGCACACAGAACGGAUCCUUCCUUCCACAGAAAAGGAAACCUCUGAAUGUUUAAUCUUUAUUUCGCAUCAUGCCCUAAUUUUAACAGUUUCUGUACGGUGGCUCAGUGAGGUCCACCAUCCUCAGUGAGGUCCACAGUGAGAACCCUGCAUGCAUUGGCAGAAACACAUUCCUCAAGGUACUUAUAAGAAAAGGAUACUACUAAAGGUUCCUUUGUUUUUAUCCUCCCCAAACUAUUUACUCUGGUGAGCUGCUGAAGGAUUACAGCUGCAGGGCAGCUAGAGAGACUCAAAGGUUAGCAAAAAUGGAGUGAGGUCUUAUGUGGGAGAAAAAGCUACUGAGCUGGGCAAGUAAUCUCAGCAGGUCAAGGAAAGUACUGACCUUCUUUUCAAAUACCAGAGACAUGAGGAAUCUGAGACAAAGUUUGGUGGGUUUUAUUUGUUUUCAGUGAGUUAAGAUAAAGGCUCUUCUUGUCCUGGGUUAUACCGGAGAUUUCAGAAAAGCAGCUUCGUACUUUGCUGUGGCUUUGUGGAAAAUUGGUAGGGCCAAUGGGGGCUUGCACUGCUGAUCAGCUUUCAGCUGCUCUGAUACAUCACUUGGUCUAAUACAUUUCCAUACACACAAUAAAGAGCUUUCAAGGUAUCCAGGAAUUACCACUUGAACAAAUAGGCCUCAGAGCCAGAGGCUGAGUACUGGGAAGGCAGCAGCAGUUGAAUCAGCUCAAGCACAGAAUGAAAUUUGGCUGCUGUCCCUUUCACAGCUGCAUGACCUCUCCUGCUCAGCCCUCCAGCAAAGAGCCUGGGAAUGGGGAGACAUAUUUGAG